UACAUCCUCAACCCUUCGUUGUGAGUCUGUAAACUUACCGCUGAGUCGACGGGUGACGAGAUUUUAGCAAGACUAAGCAAAUACUGACUUUGUUCGUGUUCGGAUAUUUGUGUUUUUUCCAAGUGAAAUCAACGUUAAGACUAGGCUGGAGCUCAGCGGUGUGUCUACCUUUUGAUAAAGUCGUAAGGUGAAACAUUGAGAACAUAAAGAAUUUUCACCGGAUACUGGUUGUUCUCUUUAUUAAAUAAGAGCUGCCAGUGAAAUCCGAUAUGUAGGGGAGGAACGAGAUAAUUUUAAAUACUUUAAAAUCAGGUCAGUGAGUAGAAAUGGAUAAAAAAAACCCGAGCUCUUUAGAAAGGUGGACCUUUCGUCUUGAGGGGCCCCUGAGCCAACGUGUUUUUCUAAGAUCAUGAAGGCCAGUGAGUAGAUGGAGUAACUGGAAACUGUAGCAGUUAUACUCUUUCAACUCGAAAUGUAACAUCAUCUUUCACCCAGAUAUUUCAAAGAAAUAUUUCUAGUCACUUAUCAGUCGUCACGAGGUGUGAAGAACCGGAAAUUAAGAGAAAAUAUUUACGUAUCUCUUUUGAAGUCUCGCCUAAAGCUACCUCAAAAAGAUAUGUGAAACAUAAAAAGAACAUUAUAUAAUAUACGUUUAAAGUUUCUCUUAUACAUGGUGGCUUUAAUGACGAUUUGUUUGUUUGUUUUGAAUUUCGCACAAAGCUACACGAGGGUUAUCUGCGCUAGCCGUCCAUAAUUUAGCAGUGUAAGACUAGAGGGAAGGCAGCUAGUCAUCACCACCAACCGCCAA
Long non-coding RNA from Limulus polyphemus (Atlantic horseshoe crab), 808 nucleotides. RefSeq lists it as uncharacterized. NCBI's taxonomy places the organism in Eukaryota, Metazoa, Arthropoda, Merostomata, Xiphosura, Limulidae. The record is from RefSeq and is a predicted model, not a curated record. The transcript is spliced from 3 exons.